This 253-nucleotide ribosomal RNA is filed under the name uncultured bacterium. RNAcentral's name for it is "partial 16S ribosomal RNA". It matches the Rfam family "Bacterial small subunit ribosomal RNA", at positions 524 to 776 of the family's 1533-position model. The record is from RNAcentral.
UACAGAGGUCUCAAGCGUUGUUCGGAUUCAUUGGGCGUAAAGGGUGCGUAGGUGGCGCGGUAAGUCGGGUGUGAAAUUUCGGAGCUUAACUCCGAAACUGCAUUCGAUACUGCCGUGCUUGAGGACUGGAGAGGAGACUGGAAUUUACGGUGUAGCGGUGAAAUGCGUAGAUAUCGUAAGGAAGACCAGUGGCGAAGGCGGGUCUCUGGACAGUUCCUGACGCUGAGGCACGAAGGCCAAGGGAGCAAACGGG